RNAcentral lists this ribosomal RNA (587 nucleotides) under Aspergillus bombycis. Its description in RNAcentral is "LSU rRNA". It matches the Rfam family "Eukaryotic large subunit ribosomal RNA", at positions 54 to 656 of the family's 3401-position model. The record is from RNAcentral. Lineage: Eukaryota; Fungi; Ascomycota; Eurotiomycetes; Eurotiales; Aspergillaceae.
AGGAAAAGAAACCAACCGGGAUUGCCUCAGUAACGGCGAGUGAAGCGGCAAGAGCUCAAAUUUGAAAGCUGGCUCCUUCGGGGUCCGCAUUGUAAUUUGCAGAGGAUGCUUCGGGUGCGGCCCCUGUCUAAGUGCCCUGGAACGGGCCGUCAGAGAGGGUGAGAAUCCCGUCUGGGAUGGGGUGUCCGCGCCCGUGUGAAGCUCCUUCGACGAGUCGAGUUGUUUGGGAAUGCAGCUCUAAAUGGGUGGUAAAUUUCAUCUAAAGCUAAAUACUGGCCGGAGACCGAUAGCGCACAAGUAGAGUGAUCGAAAGAUGAAAAGCACUUUGAAAAGAGAGUUAAAAAGCACGUGAAAUUGUUGAAAGGGAAGCGCUUGCGACCAGACUCGCCUCCAGGGUUCAGCCGGCAUUCGUGCCGGUGUACUUCCCUGGGGGCGGGCCAGCGUCGGUUUGGGCGGCCGGUCAAAGGCUCCCGGAAUGUAGUGCCCUCCGGGGCACCUUAUAGCCGGGAGUGCAAUGCGGCCAGCCUGGACCGAGGAACGCGCUUCGGCACGGACGCUGGCAUAAUGGUCGUAAACGACCCGUCUUG